AUGCGAUAAGUAGUGUGAAUUGCAUAAUUUUGUGAAUCAUCGAAUCUUUGAACGCAAAUUGCACUCCCUGGUAUUCCGGGGAGUAUGCCUGUUUGAGGGUCGUUAGAAUAAAAAUCGAGGCGUCGCUCUUUUUUUAAGGGUGAUCGCGUCGGAAUUGAGCCGUCUUUCAAAUGUUAAUUCAUGUCAAAGUGGCUUAAAAUUCAUCCAUCCGGUACGAUUAAAGCGUAUUUAAGAUCAAUUUUGAUUAAGAACGCGCGAUGACGGACCAUCUCAUGUAGUACGUUUGACCUGGCGUCGUCAGGUUCAUUCGUAUACGAUACUCAACUUUUGACCUCAAAUCAGGUAAGAAUACCCGCUGAACUUAA
RNAcentral lists this unclassified non-coding RNA (365 nucleotides) under uncultured Funneliformis. RNAcentral describes it as "partial contains 5.8S ribosomal RNA, internal transcribed spacer 2, and large subunit ribosomal RNA". The stretch from base 1 to 102 matches the Rfam family "5.8S ribosomal RNA", at positions 53 to 154 of the family's 154-position model. The record is from RNAcentral. Lineage: Eukaryota; Fungi; Glomeromycota; Glomeromycetes; Glomerales; Glomeraceae.